This 253-nucleotide ribosomal RNA is filed under the name Enterobacter hormaechei subsp. steigerwaltii. Its description in RNAcentral is "partial 16S ribosomal RNA". It matches the Rfam family "Bacterial small subunit ribosomal RNA", at positions 284 to 526 of the family's 1533-position model. The record is from RNAcentral. Lineage: Bacteria; Pseudomonadati; Pseudomonadota; Gammaproteobacteria; Enterobacterales; Enterobacteriaceae.
GCUUUUCAGUGUUGGGGAGGGGCACCUGGCCGGCAAACCGGCGCCGGUUUUAUGAUGGAUUUCCUUUUGAAUGCUGUAACUAAUGUGGUUCUCCGGGCAAGCCUGAUGCAGCCAUGCCGCGUGUAUGAAGAAGGCCUUCGGGUUGUAAAGUACUUUCAGCGGGGAGGAAGGCGGUGAGGUUAAUAACCUUGUCGAUUGACGUUACCCGCAGAAGAAGCACCGGCUAACUCCGUGCCAGCAGCCGCGGUAAUAC